Molecule: ribosomal RNA, 2002 nt
Filed under: human gut metagenome
Description: bacterial LSU rRNA
Rfam family: Bacterial large subunit ribosomal RNA
Source: RNAcentral
UUAAGCAAAGAAGAGCGCAGGGUGGAUGCCUUGGCACUAAGAGCCGAAGAAAGACGUGAUAAGCUGCGAAAAGCUGCGGGGAGAUGCAAAUAAUCUUUGAUCCGCAGAUGUCUGAAUGGGGAAACCCGGUACGAAGAACUCGUAUCAUCCAUACGCCAAUCCAUAACGUAUGGAGGGGAACCCGGUGAACUGAAACAUCUAAGUAGCCGGAGGAAGAGAAAGAAACAUCGAUUUUGUUAGUAGCGGCGAGCGAAAGCGAAAGAGGCCAAACCGGAGUGCGUGCACUCCGGGGUUCGGACCGCAUUUAAGAUUCAGUGAUUCUAGCAGAAAGGUUUGGGAAAGCCUGCCGGAGAGGGUGAAAGCCCCGUAAGCGAAAGGAGAGCUGACUGAGCGGGAUCCAGAGUACAUCGAGACACGAGAAACCUUGAUGGAAUGAGCGGGGACCACCCCGUAAGCCUAAAUACUACUUAGUGACCGAUAGCGCAUAGUACUGUGAAGGAAAGGUGAAAAGGACCCCGGGAGGGGAGUGAAAGAGAACCUGAAACCCUGUGUUUACAAGCUGUGGAAGUUCUUUAAAUGAACAACCGCGUACUUUUUGUAGAACGGUCCGGCGAGUUGCGGAUACUGGCAAGGUUAAGCACUUAAGGUGCGGAGCCGAAGGGAUACCAAGUCUUAACAGGGCGUAAAGUCAGUAUACGCAGACCCGAAACCGGGUGAUCUAUCCAUGUCCAGGUUGAAGUUGUCGUAAAAGACAAUGGAGGACCGAAGCCACAUCCGUUGAAAAGGGUGGGCAUGAGGUGUGGAUAGGGGAGAAAUUCCAAUCGAACCCGGAGAUAGCUGGUUCUCCUCGAAAUAGCUUUAGGGCUAGCCUCGAUUUAGUCUUAUGGAGGUAGAGCACUGAAUUUCCGCGGGGGCGUCAAAGCUUACCAAAGAAUAUCAAACUCCGAAUGCCAUGUAGAUGAUGAUCGGGAGUCAGACUGCACGAGAUAAGUUGGGCAGUCAAAAGGGAAAGAGCCCAGACCACCGGCUAAGGUCCCAAAGUGCGUGUUAAGUGGAAAAGGAUGUGGGAAUUCGAAGACAACUAGGAUGUUGGCUCAGAAGCAGCCAUACAUUCAAAGAGUGCGUAACAGCUCACUAGUCGAGAGUUCCUGCGCCGAAAAUGUCCGGGGCUGAAACACGACACCGAAGCCGUGGACUCGCAAUGCGAGUGGUAGAGGAGCAUUCUUAAAACCGACGAAGCUGUACCGAAAGGAGCAGUGGAGGGAUAAGAAGAGAGAAUGCCGGAAUGAGUAGCGAGAGAAAGGUGGGAAUCCUUUCGGCCGAAUAUCUAAGGUUUCCAGAGUAAAGCUGAUCUGCUCUGGGUAAGUCGGGGCCUAAGCACAGGUCGCAAGACGUAAGCGAUGGAUAACAGGUUUAGAUUCCUGUACCACGCAUUAUCAGAACUGUAGGGACGCAUGUGGAAAGCACGGGCCGGGAAUGGAAAGACCGGUACAAGCGGGGUAGGUGUACAACAGGCAAAUCCGUUGUAUAAUCCGAAGACGUGAUGUGGAGCGAAAUAAAGUAGUGAAGGGUGUGAGGCAUGUGCCGUGAAAUGCUGCUAUUGUGUAAUGCGUGCCCGUACCGUAAACCGACACAGGUGGAUGAGGAGAGAAUCCUAAGGCCGACGGAAGAAGCAUUGUUAAGGAAUUCGGCAAAAUGACCCCGUAACUUCGGGAGAAGGGGUGCCUGCGAGAGCAGGCCGCAGACAAUAGGCUCAAGCAACUGUUUAGCAAAAACACAGGUCUAUGCGAAACCGAAAGGUGAAGUAUAUGGGCUGACGCCUGCCCGGUGCUGGAAGGUUAAGAGGAGAGGUUAGUCGCAAGAUGAAGCUUUGAAUUUAAGCCCCAGUAAACGGCGGCCGUAACUAUAACGGUCCUAAGGUAGCGAAAUUCCUUGUCGGGUAAGUUCCGACCCGCACGAAAGGCGUAAUGAUUUGAGCACUGUCUCGACAAUGCAUCCGGUG